This 739-nucleotide ribosomal RNA is filed under the name uncultured Acidobacteriota bacterium. RNAcentral's name for it is "bacterial SSU rRNA". It matches the Rfam family "Bacterial small subunit ribosomal RNA", at positions 61 to 832 of the family's 1533-position model. The record is from RNAcentral. Lineage: Bacteria; Pseudomonadati; Acidobacteriota.
GUCGAACGAGAAAGGGUAGCAAUACCCAAGUAAAGUGGCGCACGGGUGAGUAACACGUGACUAACCUACCCUGGAGUGGGGGAUAACUGAGGGAAACCUUAGCUAAUACCGCAUAAUACCUACGGGUCAAAGGAGCAAUUCGCUUUGGGAGGGGGUCGCGGCCGAUUAGUUAGUUGGCGGGGUAAUGGCCCACCAAGACAGUGAUCGGUAUCCGGCCUGAGAGGGCGCACGGACACACUGGAACUGAAACACGGUCCAGACUCCUACGGGAGGCAGCAGUGGGGAAUUUUGCGCAAUGGGGGAAACCCUGACGCAGCAACGCCGCGUGGAGGAUGAAGUACUUCGGUACGUAAACUCCUUUCGAUCGGGACGAUAAUGACGGUACCGGAAGAAGAAGCCCCGGCUAACUUCGUGCCAGCAGCCGAGGUAAUACGAGGGGGGCAAGCGUUGUUCGGAAUUAUUGGGCGUAAAGGGUGCGUAGGCGGUUUGGUAAGUCUUGUGUGAAAUCUCCGGGCUCAACUCGGAGUCUGCACAGGAAACUGCCGGGCUUGAGUGUGGGAGAGGUGAGUGGAAUUUCCGGUGUAGCGGUGAAAUGCGUAGAUAUCGGAAGGAACACCUGUGGCGAAAGCGGCUCACUGGACCACAACUGACGCUGAUGCACGAAAGCUAGGGGAGCAAACAGGAUUAGAUACCCUGGUAGUCCUAGCCCUAAACGAUGACUGCUUGGUGUGACGGGUAC